This 387-nucleotide transfer-messenger RNA is filed under the name Glacieibacterium arshaanense. RNAcentral's name for it is "Polymorphobacter sp. DJ1R-1 transfer-messenger RNA". The stretch from base 1 to 348 matches the Rfam family "Alphaproteobacteria transfer-messenger RNA". Rfam says of the family: Bacterial tmRNA, also known as 10Sa RNA or SsrA, is named for its dual tRNA and mRNA-like properties. Its role is to liberate the mRNA from a stalled ribosome. The record is from RNAcentral. Lineage: Bacteria; Pseudomonadati; Pseudomonadota; Alphaproteobacteria; Sphingomonadales; Sphingosinicellaceae.
UCCCUUUCAAAUCAUGCCCUGCGCGCCUAUAUUGACCGUGCAGUCCUUCGGGAUUGCUAUGGCGAUAAACGGCGUCGUGAAAUAGGCACAGCGGACCCGGGGGCGGUACCCGGCGGCUCCACCAUUAUUUCUGGUUGUUCCGGAAGGUUUGGGGCCGAACUAGGAUCGACGUGUGUUGAAAGACGAGAGCUUUUGCCCGGCCUGAAAACGCCGUUAAACUGUUCAAAACACCAUAAAUGCCAACGACAACGAGGCAUUCGCAAUCGCAGCGUAACCCGGUCCUCACGGACUAAGUUACACUGGCCGAAAGCGCGGUAGGGACCACGCCGGGCAACAGAAGUGGAAACCAGCGGUACGGGGAGCACCGGGCAACAGAAGCUCCCCACU